Bos taurus (domestic cattle) is the source of this 755-nucleotide long non-coding RNA. NCBI's taxonomy places the organism in Eukaryota, Metazoa, Chordata, Mammalia, Artiodactyla, Bovidae. The record is from Ensembl.
CUCCUGUUCUUAGAGGAAGAAGUACUUUGGGAUGCUCCUCCUAGAAAUUUCGAAGGGGGACCUUCAGUGUAUCAUUUGGGGAGGUAAAGUCCAUGCAACAGUGUCUUAUUUCCGUCAGCUUCUUCUACAAGGGGUUUUACUGUUAUUUUAAUAGGAUGGAUAUGUUUCUUUGAAAAGAGCACCAUGUAAGGGAAUGAAUAAAUAACUAGCUGUGUAUGAAAUUGAAUGGUUAGAAAAGCAGUCUGCCUUCACUGCAGGCACGCAGAUUUGGGGGUCAAGCACAGAUGCCCUCCACAGAAGCACAGGGCCAGGGCCUGCUGAGGGUUGUAGUGCCCGAGAGCCUCCUUGGCCUCUCAAACAUCAAAGUGCCCAGGAAUCAAUACCUGUGCUCCGCCAGUAUGUCUACUGAACCAGAGCCAAUAGCAUCAGUGGCUCUGUGGUCGAGAAUCUACCUGCCAAUGCAGGGGACACAGGUUUUAUCCCUGGGUUAAGAAGAUCCUCUGGAAGAUGAAAUGGCAACCCACUCCAGUAUUCUUGCCUGAAAAAUCCCAUGGACAGAGUUGCCUGGUGGACUGCAGUCCAUGGGGUUGCAAAGAGUCCAGCACAACUGAGUGACUGAACAUGCAUGCAUGCAUGCCCUCAUAAGAGACCCUACAGCUGGAUACAAGAAGUCUGUGACCCAGAAGAGGGCCUUCCUGAUCUUGGACUUUCAGCUUCCAGAACUUUGAGAAAUAAAUUUUUGUUGUGUUUUAAGC